This 474-nucleotide ribosomal RNA is filed under the name Streptococcus vestibularis. Its description in RNAcentral is "bacterial SSU rRNA". It matches the Rfam family "Bacterial small subunit ribosomal RNA", at positions 28 to 485 of the family's 1533-position model. The record is from RNAcentral. Lineage: Bacteria; Bacillati; Bacillota; Bacilli; Lactobacillales; Streptococcaceae.
GACGAACGCUGGCGGCGUGCCUAAUACAUGCAAGUAGAACGCUGAAGAGAGGAGCUUGCUCUUCUUGGAAGAGUUGCGAACGGGUGAGUAACGCGUAGGUAACCUGCCUUGUAGCGGGGGAUAACUAUUGGAAGCGAUAGCUAAUACCGCAUAACAAUGGGUGACCCAUGUCAUUCAUUUGAAAGGGGCAACUGCUCCACUACAAGAUGGACCUGCGUUGUAUUAGCUAGUAGGUGAGGUAACGGCUCACCUAGGCGACGAUACAUAGCCGACCUGAGAGGGUGAUCGGCCACACUGGGACUGAGACACGGCCCAGACUCCUACGGGAGGCAGCAGUAGGGAAUCUUCGGCAAUGGGGGCAACCCUGACCGAGCAACGCCGCGUGAGUGAAGAAGGUUUUCGGAUCGUAAAGCUCUGUUGUAAGUCAAGAACGAGUGUGAGAGUGGAAAGUUCACACUGUGACGGUAGCUACCA